AUUUUUACCUUUGUAACAUAAUGAAAAACAGUAUAAACAUAUCUUGGUGGUGGAACUCUCUUAACUAAUAAGUGAGUUUAUACCUGUAUGUAAAAAUAUAUUAAAAAGGCUUAUC
Regulatory RNA element from Polaribacter sp. MED152, 115 nucleotides. It matches the Rfam family "Bacteroidete tryptophan peptide leader RNA". Lineage: Bacteria; Pseudomonadati; Bacteroidota; Flavobacteriia; Flavobacteriales; Flavobacteriaceae. The record is from Rfam.